Long non-coding RNA from Salvia miltiorrhiza (redroot sage), 1376 nucleotides. RefSeq lists it as uncharacterized. The transcript is spliced from 2 exons. The record is from RefSeq and is a predicted model, not a curated record. NCBI's taxonomy places the organism in Eukaryota, Viridiplantae, Streptophyta, Magnoliopsida, Lamiales, Lamiaceae.
AAUAAAUCGGCCCACAUAACAGCUUCAGCCCAAACACCAGCUUCUUUCUCCUCUUAAAAUUUCCUUCACGCUGAACUCCUUUUCUCAAAGUCUCACACUGAGAACCAAAAUCGGCCGUGCACUCCAGUCAGCCGUUGCCACCUCUUCGCCGAACCGCCGCCGCCCUGAAAUUCCGGCGCGGCCGUGUCUCACCUCCGACUCUCCUUCUCACAAUUUCCCCUCUACAAGAUCAGAUUCCACGCACACCGUUGAGAAAAGGGAUUGAGCCCUUGACCCUCUUCACAGAAAUCGCCGUUGUUGUGCUAAAAUCAGCAAGCGAUCGUCGUCCCUUCAUCUCUGGCAAAGCAGAGGCCUGCUCACGUUUGCCUAUUGCUGCGUCGUCGGCUGCCUUCGAGAUUUCCGCCGCCGCCUCCGUCCACCGUCCAAUUCCUCAAAAAAAAAAAAUUUUGAAACCCACCGCCGGGUCACCGUUACCUGGAGUUUUGCCUUCGAUAAGCUUCUAAAAAUGGGUGAGGCUGAGGCUGCUGUUGCGUUUCUCGGGCGAGCAGGUGAGGGCCCACCGCCUCCGUUGCUGCUGUACUCAGAUUCCGACGAGGCAGCUCGCCGUCGUCGCUUCCUUGAGCUCGACUAAACAGGACAGUCGGCUCCCCCCCUCAAAAGCUAACUUCAACAAUCCUAGGAUAUUCUGUUUUCGAUCAUAUAUUAUGCUCUUCGAUUUGAUGCUAUUCUCAUAGCUCGUGAAAUCUUGGUUAUUCUAUACUCUUGUUAUGAAAUGCUGUGGUUUUGCUACUGAUUAUGCAAAUUCUCAAUGCAUUUGACUUGUGUGAGAGCUUAUAGGUUGUUGGUUGUUCUAGGUGACUACCGAUUAUGCUGUUCUUUCUGUAAUAACUCAAGCUCAUUCUAGAUUACGUUGAGCUUAGGAAUGGAGGGAGUUAAGCCAAAUCUUACCUCUAAAGUUUGGCAGUAGAGCAAUGAAUGGAAUUCCUCCUCGUGGGUUAUUAGUGUAGCAUGGAGGGGAAAUGGGAAGUAAAAUGGAAGAGAGUUGCUGCUGAUUUGUUUGUUUGAAGGAGUGUAUUAGUAACUAUACUUGAGUAGUCUGUAGGGUGGUACAACAGUAGAGUGGCUGAUUUGAGCCCUUUGUGUACCUUGUGUAUGGCUGGAGUAAUGGAAGAGUGGGCUUGCUGCAGAGAUAGGAUAGCCGUUGCUGUUGCAGGGAAGGGAGUGAGCUGCUGCAGCUAUUCACCACACUCGCACACUACCUUUUUCUUUUUCUUUUUUCUUGCUAGCUGGUGUUGUAAUAGGUAUGUAGGAAAUGAGUGAUUGUAAAGUUUGAAAAGUUGUGGUGUGACUAGUAAAUCCUUCAGUAUCUCGGUAAA